Molecule: ribosomal RNA, 468 nt
Filed under: uncultured bacterium
Lineage: Bacteria
Description: partial 16S ribosomal RNA
Rfam family: Bacterial small subunit ribosomal RNA
Source: RNAcentral
GACGAACGCUGGCGGCGUGCUUAACACAUGCAAGUCGAACGGAAAGGCCCUGCUUUUGUGGGGUGCUCGAGUGGCGAACGGGUGAGUAACACGUGAGUAACCUGCCCUUGACUUUGGGAUAACUUCAGGAAACUGGGGCUAAUACCGCAUAGGAGCUCCUGCUGCAUGGCGUGGGUUGGAAAGUUUCGGCGGCUGGGGUUGGACUUGCGGCUUAUCAGCUUGUUGGUGGGGGAGCGGCAUACCAAGGCGUUGACGGGUAGCCGGCCUGGGAGGGUGACCGGCCACAGUGGGACUGAGGUACGGCCCAGACUCCUACGGGAGGCAGCAGUGGGGAACAUUGCACAAUGGGCGGAAGCCUGAUGCAGCAACGCCGCGUGCGGGAUGACGGCCUUCGGGUUGUAAACCGCUUUCGCCUGUGACGAAGCGUGAGUGACGGUAAUGGGUAAAGAAGCAACGGCUAACUACGUG